GAACAGUGGGUCGACGUGGUUGAGAAAAGAGAGAGACGGAGGCGCAGAGGGUUUCCGGCGGAUGCGGCGAAAAUGCCGGAUGUGAGAGCGGGUUCAUGGUGAAACAGAGGUGGGCUGUAGCGGGCGUUUUGGUUCGCCGGUGAUUUGUGGUGGUGAGAGUUGUUGGGUGAAGAAGAGGAACAGUAGUCCUCUGUGAGAGAAAAAGUGGAUCUCCAGGAAGAAGAGGAACAAUCUCUUUUUAUUAUUUUUCUUUUUAUUAUUUUAUCCUAUAGCUGAGAGAGUGAAGGAGACG
Molecule: long non-coding RNA, 292 nt
Filed under: Lathyrus oleraceus (garden pea)
Lineage: Eukaryota; Viridiplantae; Streptophyta; Magnoliopsida; Fabales; Fabaceae
Description: Pisum sativum (pea) long non-coding RNA (PSAT_LNC029792)
Source: RNAcentral